Molecule: unclassified non-coding RNA, 148 nt
Organism: Papio anubis (olive baboon)
Lineage: Eukaryota; Metazoa; Chordata; Mammalia; Primates; Cercopithecidae
Rfam family: Metazoan signal recognition particle RNA
About the family: The signal recognition particle (SRP) is a universally conserved ribonucleoprotein. It is involved in the co-translational targeting of proteins to membranes. The eukaryotic SRP consists of a 300-nucleotide 7S RNA and six proteins: SRPs 72, 68, 54, 19, 14, and 9.
Source: Ensembl
GCCAGGCAUGGUGGCGGGCGCCUGUAGUCCCAGCUACUUGGGAGGCUGAGUCAGGAGAAUCACUUGAACCCGGGAGGUGGAGGUUCCAGUGAGCUGAGAUUGUGCCACUGCACUCCAGCCUGGGUGACAGAGUGAGACUCUGUCUCAU